RNAcentral lists this ribosomal RNA (402 nucleotides) under uncultured prokaryote. Its description in RNAcentral is "bacterial SSU rRNA". It matches the Rfam family "Bacterial small subunit ribosomal RNA", at positions 355 to 774 of the family's 1533-position model. The record is from RNAcentral.
UGGGGAAUAUUGCACAAUGGGGGAAACCCUGAUGCAGCAACGCCGCGUGAGUGAAGAAGUAUUUCGGUAUGUAAAGCUCUAUCAGCAGGGAAGAAAAUGACAGUACCUGACUAAGAAGCCCCGGCUAACUACGUGCCAGCAGCCGCGGUAAUACGUAGGGGGCAAGCGUUAUCCGGAUUUACUGGGUGUAAAGGGAGCGUAGACGGUGGGAUAAGUCAGAAGUGAAAGCCCGGGGCUCAACCGCGGGACUGCUUUUGAAACUGUUCUGCUAGAGUGCAGGAGAGGUAAGUGGAAUUCCUAGUGUAGCGGUGAAAUGCGUAGAUAUUAGGAGGAACACCGGUGGCGAAGGCGGCUUACUGGACUGUAACUGACGUUGAGGCUCGAAAGCGUGGGGAGCAAACA